UUGAGGUUUUUUUUGGUCUCUGAUCAAAAAGCUCUCCACCCUUUGUUAAUUCUGUUUGAGACUUUUAGCUUCGGUAAGACUGUUUGAUUUGUUGUUAAUCAACAAGUCAAACGAUUGACAGUUGUGAAAAGACUGUUGAUUAGUGCUUACCGUUAGCAUCUUAUACUCUUGAUAAUUUGUUUGUCUAAUAAACCAAAAAAAUUAAUCA
Molecule: unclassified non-coding RNA, 208 nt
Filed under: uncultured fungus
Lineage: Eukaryota; Fungi
Description: sequence contains ITS1, 5.8S rRNA gene
Source: RNAcentral